GUGGGGAAUUUUGGACAAUGGGGGCAACCCUGAUCCAGCAAUGCCGCGUGCAGGAAGAAGGCCUUCGGGUUGUAAACUGCUUUUGUACGGAACGAAAAGCCUCUGGUUAAUACCCGGGGGUCAUGACGGUACCGUAAGAAUAAGCACCGGCUAACUACGUGCCAGCAGCCGCGGUAAUACGUAGGGUGCGAGCGUUAAUCGGAAUUACUGGGCGUAAAGCGUGCGCAGGCGGUGAUGUAAGACAGUUGUGAAAUCCCCGGGCUGAGCCUGGGAACUGCAUCUGUGACUGCAUUGCUGGAGUGCGGCAGAGGGGGAUGGAAUUCCGCGAGUAGCAGUGAAAUGCGUAGAUAUGCGGAGGAACACCGAUGGCGAAGGCAAUCCCCUGGGCCUGCACUGACGCUCAUGCACGAAAGCGUGGGGAGCAAACAGGAUUAGAAACCCCUGUAGUCC
This 450-nucleotide ribosomal RNA is filed under the name uncultured bacterium. RNAcentral describes it as "partial 16S ribosomal RNA". It matches the Rfam family "Bacterial small subunit ribosomal RNA", at positions 354 to 796 of the family's 1533-position model. The record is from RNAcentral.